UACGAAGGGGGCUAGCGUUGCUCGGAAUCACUGGGCGUAAAGGGUGCGCAGGUGGGCUGGUAAGUUCGAUGUGAAAGCCCCGGCUUAACCCGGGAAUGGCAUUGGAUACUACUGGUCUGGAGGAUCGGAGGGGGGACUGGAAUUCUUGGUGUAGCAGUGAAAUGCGUAGAUAUCAAGAGGAACACCAGUGGCGAAGGCGAGUCCCUGGACGAUACCUGACACUGAGG
RNAcentral lists this ribosomal RNA (227 nucleotides) under uncultured bacterium. RNAcentral describes it as "partial 16S ribosomal RNA". It matches the Rfam family "Bacterial small subunit ribosomal RNA", at positions 524 to 751 of the family's 1533-position model. The record is from RNAcentral.